CAGCAUGAGGCAGAGACUAUGUUGGACAUCAGACACUUGUCAUGUCAGAGUCACGUGUCCAAUCAGAGGAGUCAUGUCCAAUCAGCAAUCAGAGUCAGGUGUCAAAUCAGUAACGAGUCCGAUUAGAGUCAUGUGUCCAAUCAGUCACGUGUCCAAUCAGAGGAGUCGCGUGUCCAAUCAGAGGCGUCAUGUCCAAUCAGAGUCAGGUGUCCAAUCAGAGGAGUCACGAGUCCGAUUAGUCCUGGGUCAGAUCAGAGGAGUCAUGUCCAAUCAGAGUCAGGUGUCCAAUCAGAGGAGUCACGAGUCCGAUUAGUCCUGGGUCAGAUCAGAGGAG
Tachysurus fulvidraco (yellow catfish) is the source of this 334-nucleotide long non-coding RNA. RefSeq lists it as uncharacterized. The record is from RefSeq and is a predicted model, not a curated record. NCBI's taxonomy places the organism in Eukaryota, Metazoa, Chordata, Actinopteri, Siluriformes, Bagridae. The transcript has 3 exons.